This is a non-coding RNA of Pelobates cultripes (western spadefoot toad), 237 nucleotides long. The record is from the annotation of a GenBank genome assembly. Lineage: Eukaryota; Metazoa; Chordata; Amphibia; Anura; Pelobatidae.
GGAGGGAUGGGGUGACAUAGUGACAGAGGAUGCGGAUGACUAGUGACGGAGGGGGUGACUAGUGACAGAGGGAGGGAUGGAGUGACUAGUGACAGUCACCCCCUCCCUCACUCUGUCACUAGUCACCACCUCCCUCACUCUGUUACCCCCUCACUCUGUCACUGUGUCACCCCCACCCUCCCUCUGUCACUAGUCACCCCCUCCCUCUGUCACUGUGUCACCCCCUCCCUCCCUCCC